UGGGAAGUCCUCGUGUUGCAUUCCCCUUUUUAAAUAUAUUUUUGCGCCACGUGACAAGGAUGACGCGGGACCGUGAUCUAUAUGACCUCAUUUUCUUAUUUUUGACGAUUACUGUGUGACUUUUCCCACCGCGCUUGACACCCAACGACUAGGGGCAAGCAUAAGGAACAAAUAGAUAGUUGCAUGUCGGAUGCGAUCAUACCAGCACUAAA
RNAcentral lists this ribosomal RNA (212 nucleotides) under Hordeum bulbosum. Lineage: Eukaryota; Viridiplantae; Streptophyta; Magnoliopsida; Poales; Poaceae. The record is from RNAcentral.